This 210-nucleotide long non-coding RNA is filed under the name Capsicum annuum. Its description in RNAcentral is "long non-coding RNA (CANN_LNC006275)". The record is from RNAcentral. Lineage: Eukaryota; Viridiplantae; Streptophyta; Magnoliopsida; Solanales; Solanaceae.
GAUUAAUCAGGACUCUAAAUAUACUUCACGGAUUAAGCAUAAUAUGAUCAUGAUUGAAUACAGGCAGCUAGGGGGCCCGCUCAUUUAGAAUAGUUAUCGGGAGACUAAUCAGGCAACAAAUAUACUAGCUACGGAAGGAGCACAAGCAAGAAGCUAUUAUAAUAUAUUAGAACAGACAAUUUCAGUCUGUGACCCGUAUAUUAGGUAUAG